Lolium rigidum is the source of this 240-nucleotide long non-coding RNA. RefSeq lists it as uncharacterized. The transcript has 3 exons. The record is from RefSeq and is a predicted model, not a curated record. Lineage: Eukaryota; Viridiplantae; Streptophyta; Magnoliopsida; Poales; Poaceae.
GUCUCGCUCACUAUUCCCCAUCCCAAACUGCGGCAACCUCUCCCAGGUCUAGCGGCGCAGGACCUGGCCGGCGGCGAUGGUUCUGGAGCACUUCUUCGAGUUCCUACAGGGCAAGCGGCACGGGGCCAAGACGGCGAUGCGGGAGCUGGAGAUCUCCCUGCGGGCCAAGGACCCGGUGACCCCGCUGGAGGAUACAGAGAUUCAUUCCAUCACCACAGAAGCAACCCUGGCCUUUCUUCU